RNAcentral lists this ribosomal RNA (464 nucleotides) under uncultured bacterium. Its description in RNAcentral is "bacterial SSU rRNA". It matches the Rfam family "Bacterial small subunit ribosomal RNA", at positions 33 to 507 of the family's 1533-position model. The record is from RNAcentral.
GACGCUGGCGGCGUGCUUAACACAUGCAAGUCGAACGGAAAGGCCCUGCUUCUGUGGGGUGCUCGAGUGGCGAACGGGUGAGUAACACGUGAGUAACCUGCCCUUGACUUUGGGAUAACUUCAGGAAACUGGGGCUAAUACCGGAUAGGAGCUCCUGCUGCAUGGUGGGGGUUGGAAAGUUUCGGCGGUUGGGGAUGGACUCGCGGCUUAUCAGCUUGUUGGUGGGGUAGUGGCUUACCAAGGCUUUGACGGGUAGCCGGCCUGAGAGGGUGACCGGCCACAUUGGGACUGAGAUACGGCCCAGACUCCUACGGGAGGCAGCAGUGGGGAAUAUUGCACAAUGGGCGGAAGCCUGAUGCAGCAACGCCGCGUGCGGGAUGACGGCCUUCGGGUUGUAAACCGCUUUCGCCUGUGACGAAGCGUGAGUGACGGUAAUGGGUAAAGAAGCACCGGCUAACUACGUG